Molecule: ribosomal RNA, 261 nt
Filed under: uncultured bacterium
Lineage: Bacteria
Description: partial 16S ribosomal RNA
Rfam family: Bacterial small subunit ribosomal RNA
Source: RNAcentral
UACGAAGGGGGCUAGCGUUGCUCGGAAUCACUGGGCGUAAAGCGCACGUAGGGCGGAUCUUUUAAGUCAGGAGGUAGAACUACCCGCAAGGCAUCCAACCUUGGAACUGCCUUUGAUACUGGGGAUCUUGAGUCCCGGGAGAGGUGAGUGGAACUGCGAGUGUAGAGGUGAAAUUCGUAGAUAUUCGCAAGAACACCAGUGGCGAAGGCGGCUCACUGGCCCGGUACUCGACGCUGAGGUGCGAAAGCGUGGGGAGCAAAC